RNAcentral lists this ribosomal RNA (394 nucleotides) under uncultured bacterium. RNAcentral describes it as "partial 16S ribosomal RNA". It matches the Rfam family "Bacterial small subunit ribosomal RNA", at positions 523 to 918 of the family's 1533-position model. The record is from RNAcentral.
AUACGGAAGGUCCAGGCGUUAUCCGGAUUUAUUGGGUUUAAAGGGAGCGCAGGCCGGUGUGUAAGCGUGACGUCAAAUACAGCCGCUCAACGGUUGUCCGCAUCGCGAACUGCAUGCCUUGAGUACGCUGCAAGUGGGCGGAAUUCGUGGUGUAGCGGUGAAAUGCUUAGAUAUCACGAAGAACUCCGAUUGCGAAGGCAGCCCGCUGUUGCGUCACUGACGCUGAGGCUCGAAGGUGCGGGUAUCGAACAGGAUUAGAUACCCUGGUAGUCCGCACUGUAAACGAUGGACACCCGCUGUGUGGCCUUUUUUGGUUGCGCGGCCAAGCGAAAGCAUUAAGUGUCCCACCUGGGGAGUACGCCGGCAACGGUGAAACUCAAAUGAAUUGACGGGG